UCAGGAUCAAUUAGCAUAAAGAAGGACAUUGAUACCGGGGAAGUUAUUCGAGGCCUGCUAUAGAAUCCCUGACAACUGGUUAUCCAGCAUCUAAUGAUGGUUCCUCCAGAAUUCAGCCUCUAUUAAACCAAACUACAUCAUCCCACAAGUCUCCUCUCACCUUCUGCUCCCCUGGACAUUGUUCCUAAUUCAGAAGGACAGGGCCAAAGUGUGAAAUCUCUGCUGACCUGAAUCAAGUAUGACCAAUCAAUCAGAAACUGAAGCUCAGAGUGGUUCCACAAGCUCACAUCAUCAGUAUCUCUAAAUCCAACUGCUUUUCGGUGAUGUGCUGGAGGGUCUUCAACCUUCUUUUUACAUGUGACCUUGUGAUCGUAUUCAACAACUGUCAUUGGCUCUCCAUUGCCUACUAAGU
This 412-nucleotide long non-coding RNA is filed under the name Sarcophilus harrisii (Tasmanian devil). RNAcentral's name for it is "lncRNA (ENSSHAG00000021444.1)". The record is from RNAcentral. Lineage: Eukaryota; Metazoa; Chordata; Mammalia; Dasyuromorphia; Dasyuridae.